UGGAUCAGAACGAACGCUGGCGGCGUGCUUAACACAUGCAAGUCGAGCGGAAAGGCCCUUCGGGGUACUCGAGCGGCGAACGGGUGAGUAACACGUGAGCAACCUGCCCUCAGACUCUGGGAUAGCUCCCGGAAACGCGAAUCAAUACCGGAUAUGACCCUGCCCGACAUAUGUCAGGGUGGAAAGUUUCUCGGAUGAGGAUGGACUCGCGGCAUAUCAGCUAGAUGGUGGGGUAACGGCCCACCAAGGUGAUGACGGGUAGGUGGUUUGAGAGGACGGCCAGCCACAUUGGGAUUGAGACACGGCCCAGAGUCCUACGGGAGGCAGCAGUGG
This 333-nucleotide ribosomal RNA is filed under the name uncultured bacterium. Its description in RNAcentral is "bacterial SSU rRNA". It matches the Rfam family "Bacterial small subunit ribosomal RNA", at positions 20 to 357 of the family's 1533-position model. The record is from RNAcentral.